AGCGAACGCUGGCGGCAGGCCUAACACAUGCAAGUCGAACGAACUCUUCGGAGUUAGUGGCGGACGGGUGAGUAACACGUGGGAACGUGCCUUUUGGUUCGGAAUAACUCAGGGAAACUUGUGCUAAUACCGAAUGUGCCCUUCGGGGGAAAGAUUUAUCGCCCUUAGAGCGGCCCGCGUCUGAUUAGCUAGUUGGUGAGGUAACGGCUCACCAAGGCGACGAUCAGUAGCUGGUCUGAGAGGAUGACCAGCCACACUGGGACUGGGACACGGCCCAGACUCCUACGGGAGGCAGCAAUGGCGAAUCUUGCGCUAUGGGCUAAAGCCUGACGCAGCCAUGCCGCGUGAAUGAUUAAGGUCUUAGGAUUGUAAAAUUCUUUCACCGGGGACGAUAAUGACGGUACCCGGAGAAGAAGCCCCGGCUAACUUCGUG
This 433-nucleotide ribosomal RNA is filed under the name uncultured bacterium. RNAcentral's name for it is "partial 16S ribosomal RNA". It matches the Rfam family "Bacterial small subunit ribosomal RNA", at positions 29 to 507 of the family's 1533-position model. The record is from RNAcentral.